This 459-nucleotide ribosomal RNA is filed under the name uncultured bacterium. RNAcentral describes it as "partial 16S ribosomal RNA". It matches the Rfam family "Bacterial small subunit ribosomal RNA", at positions 338 to 795 of the family's 1533-position model. The record is from RNAcentral.
CCUACGGGGGGCAGCAGUGAGGAAUAUUGGUCAAUGGGCGGAAGCCUGAACCAGCCAAGUCGCGUGAGGGAUUAAGGCCCUAUGGGUCGUAAACCUCUUUUGUCAGGGAACAAAGGCGGGGACGUGUCCCCGGAUGAGUGUACCUGAAGAAAAAGCAUCGGCUAACUCCGUGCCAGCAGCCGCGGUAAUACGGAGGAUGCGAGCGUUAUCCGGAUUUAUUGGGUUUAAAGGGUGCGCAGGCGGUCUGUUAAGUCAGCGGUCAAAGCCCGGGGCUCAACCCCGGCCCGCCGUUGAAACUGGCAGUCUCGAGUUGGAGAGAAGUAUGCGGAAUGCGCGGUGUAGCGGUGAAAUGCAUAGAUAUCGCGCAGAACUCCGAUUGCGAAGGCAGCAUGCCGGCUCCACACUGACGCUGAGGCACGAAAGCGUGGGUAUCGAACAGGAUUAGAUACCCGGGUAGUC